This 88-nucleotide microRNA precursor is filed under the name Canis lupus familiaris (dog). RNAcentral's name for it is "mir-8799 microRNA precursor family". It matches the Rfam family "mir-8799 microRNA precursor family". The record is from Rfam by way of RNAcentral. Lineage: Eukaryota; Metazoa; Chordata; Mammalia; Carnivora; Canidae. RNAcentral also lists the same sequence under 1 other name.
GGGGGGAGGCCGGAUCCUGGGCUGUGUCCCGGCCCCCGUGCUCCCGGUCUGCGCUGUUGGAUUCGCAUUCCGGGCGGCACAGCCCCCU